ACGAUUGUAGUUUAGUGGUUACAGCGUCAGGCUCACGACUUGAAGGUCGGGGUUCGAUUCCUGAUCCUA
Macrostomum lignano is the source of this 69-nucleotide non-coding RNA. The record is from Rfam. Lineage: Eukaryota; Metazoa; Platyhelminthes; Macrostomidae.